RNAcentral lists this ribosomal RNA (351 nucleotides) under Vibrio cholerae. RNAcentral's name for it is "bacterial SSU rRNA". It matches the Rfam family "Bacterial small subunit ribosomal RNA", at positions 1 to 347 of the family's 1533-position model. Lineage: Bacteria; Pseudomonadati; Pseudomonadota; Gammaproteobacteria; Vibrionales; Vibrionaceae. The record is from RNAcentral.
UUAAUUGAAGAGUUUGAUCAUGGCUCAGAUUGAACGCUGGCGGCAGGCCUAACACAUGCAAGUCGAGCGGCAGCACAGAGGAACUUGUUCCUUGGGUGGCGAGCGGCGGACGGGUGAGUAAUGCCUGGGAAAUUGCCCGGUAGAGGGGGAUAACCAUUGGAAACGAUGGCUAAUACCGCAUAACCUCGCAAGAGCAAAGCAGGGGACCUUCGGGCCUUGCGCUACCGGAUAUGCCCAGGUGGGAUUAGCUAGUUGGUGAGGUAAGGGCUCACCAAGGCGACGAUCCCUAGCUGGUCUGAGAGGAUGAUCAGCCACACUGGAACUGAGACACGGUCCAGACUCCUACGGGAG